GCGUGAGUGAUGAAGGCCCUAGGGUUGUAAAGCUCUUUCAACGGUGAAGAUAAUGACGGUAGCCGUAGAAGAAGCCCCGGCUAACUUCGUGCCAGCAGCCGCGGUAAUACGAAGGGGGCUAGCGUUGUUCGGAAUUACUGGGCGUAAAGCGCACGUAGGCGGAUUGAUCAGUUGGGGGUGAAAUCCCAGGGCUUAACCCUGGAACUGCCUUCAAUACUGUCUGUCUAGAGGUCGAGAGAGGUGAGUGGAAUUCCGAGUGUAGAGGUGAAAUUCGU
Molecule: ribosomal RNA, 275 nt
Filed under: uncultured bacterium
Lineage: Bacteria
Description: partial 16S ribosomal RNA
Rfam family: Bacterial small subunit ribosomal RNA
Source: RNAcentral